Aspergillus candidus is the source of this 107-nucleotide non-coding RNA. The record is from the annotation of a RefSeq genome assembly. Lineage: Eukaryota; Fungi; Ascomycota; Eurotiomycetes; Eurotiales; Aspergillaceae.
GGGUGGGUGGCGCAAUGGCAGCGCGUUGGUUUUCGGUUUACGAUUACACAAAUAAUUGUUCAUAACAAUUACACCAAAGGUUGUGGGUUCGAGCCCCAUCUCACUCA